CAAGGUCUCCGUAGGUGAACCUGCGGAGGGAUCAUUACACAAUAAAAUACGAAGGCCGUUCGCGGCUGGACUAUUUAUUACCCUUGUCUUUUGCGCACUUGUUGUUUCCUGGGCGGGUUCGCUCGCCACCAGGACCACAAUAUAAACCUUUUUUAUGCAGUUGCAAUCAGCGUCAGUAUAACAAAUGUAAAUCAUUUACAACUUUCAACAACGGAUCUCUUGGUUCUGGCAUCGAUGAAGAACGCAGCGAAAUGCGAUACGUAGUGUGAAUUGCAGAAUUCAGUGAAUCAUCGAAUCUUUGAACGCACAUUGCGCCCUUUGGUAUUCCAAAGGGCAUGCCUGUUCGAGCGUCAUUUGUACCCUCAAGCUUUGCUUGGUGUUGGGCGUUUUUGUCUUUGGCCCGCCAAAGACUCGCCUUAAAAUGAUUGGCAGCCGGCCUACUGGUUUCGCAGCGCAGCACAUUUUUGCGCUUGCAAUCAGCAAAAGAGGACGGCAAUCCAUCAAGACUCCUUCUCACGUUGACCUCGGAUCA
RNAcentral lists this small RNA (532 nucleotides) under Curvularia spicifera. Its description in RNAcentral is "eukaryotic LSU rRNA". The stretch from base 200 to 353 matches the Rfam family "5.8S ribosomal RNA". Lineage: Eukaryota; Fungi; Ascomycota; Dothideomycetes; Pleosporales; Pleosporaceae. The record is from RNAcentral.